UGGCUGAGCGGUAAAGCGCUUGGCUUCCGAACCGGGAGUCCCAGGUUCGAAUCCUGG
RNAcentral lists this transfer RNA (57 nucleotides) under Biomphalaria glabrata. It matches the Rfam family "tRNA", at positions 8 to 63 of the family's 71-position model. From Rfam's summary of the family: Transfer RNA (tRNA) molecules are approximately 80 nucleotides in length. Their secondary structure includes four short double-helical elements and three loops (D, anti-codon, and T loops). Lineage: Eukaryota; Metazoa; Mollusca; Gastropoda; Planorbidae. The record is from Rfam by way of RNAcentral.